UACGUAGGGAGCAAGCGUUGUCCGGAAUCAUUGGGCGUAAAGCGCGCGUAGGUGGCCUCGUAAGUCCGCUGUGAAAGUCAAAGGCUCAACCUUUGAAAGCCGGUGGAUACUGCGGGGCUAGAGUACGGAAGAGGCGAGUGGAAUUCCUGGUGUAGCGGUGAAAUGCGCAGAUAUCAGGAGGAACACCGGUGGCGAAGGCGGGUCUCUGGGCCGAUACUGACGCUGAGGAGCGAAAGCGUGGGGAGCGAACAGG
RNAcentral lists this ribosomal RNA (253 nucleotides) under uncultured bacterium. RNAcentral's name for it is "partial 16S ribosomal RNA". It matches the Rfam family "Bacterial small subunit ribosomal RNA", at positions 524 to 776 of the family's 1533-position model. The record is from RNAcentral.